CUUCUUGUGCAUUUCUCGAAUCUUUGAAAAUUUGGAUCAUAUUUAAUAUGUCCGAAAGCGGAAGCACAUAUUCAUGCAGGAAACAAAACUCAGCGUUCAUUGCGGUAACCGCCGGAUCCCUAUUAGUAAGAUGGAAAUACAAGCGGAAGCAGUCCAGAGCUGACGUCUUUUCCAACUGCCGUAAAAUGGCCAGCAGAACCAAAAACUCGACAAUAACAUGAAACUUAAAACUAUAAGCUCGACGGAUCCAUAUCAAAGACAUCACGGAGACCGAUAGAGCCCUCUUGCCACUUUUUCCAUCUCCGCUAGGUCUUGAGGAUGUGUCGAAAGACUCUGGGAUUUCUUGGAAACCAGUUGACCGCUGCAUCAGGAAGCACUUGACUUCACCAAUCGUGAAGUGACAUAGGACCUUGGAUUUUAGAGCAAAUUCCAGUUCGGAUCCGGUAGAAUCCAGAUAGCAGGUUUUGAUUCAGAAGGUCUUUAUUAAUUCUGAUAACAAAGCCUUGUUGGGAAAUUAUGAGGAUUAAAACGGAGCCGUCAGUAAAGAUUCUGAGAAGCGGGGAGAUGCUGUCUCGACGGAUCUAAUCAGCCGCACCCUCGACAUUUCAGAACAGGCUGAUCAUGAGGAAUUUCCAAGAAGAAUAAGAAGCAAGUGCGAAAGACAGACAUUGAGCGAUCGGUGGGUUUCGGAUAAUAUCGAGGAAAUACCAAUUCCGAUCAAACAAAUAGGAAUUGGAUUCAACAAAGAGAAGCAACAAGCACAGACGACGCAAUUGAUCAAGAAUGAAUUCGCGGAAGCAACGGGAACAUGAGUGCAAACUCGAAUUUACCUUGCUGCUGAAAUAU
Long non-coding RNA from Armigeres subalbatus, 846 nucleotides. RefSeq lists it as uncharacterized. The record is from RefSeq and is a predicted model, not a curated record. The transcript has 4 exons. NCBI's taxonomy places the organism in Eukaryota, Metazoa, Arthropoda, Insecta, Diptera, Culicidae.